This 1158-nucleotide long non-coding RNA is filed under the name Meleagris gallopavo (turkey). RNAcentral's name for it is "lncRNA (ENSMGAG00000022456.1)". Lineage: Eukaryota; Metazoa; Chordata; Aves; Galliformes; Phasianidae. The record is from RNAcentral.
UUGGCUGGGGUUUUUUUGCUUGUUUGUUUUUGUUGCUUUAUAAGGAUUUAAAUGCAGGGGAGAAGUAUUAGAAACAUUUAGAUGUUGUAGUAAGGGACAUGGCUUAGUGGGGAAAUAUUGGCAGUAGGUAAACGUUUGGACUGGAUGAUCUUGGAGAUCUUUUCCAACCUUCGUGAUUCUAUGAUUCUACGAUUAUAGAACAGACCAGAAAAGCCUGAUGCAAGGAACUAAACGAAAGGACAGAACACAGGUGAACAGAGCUGUGAAAAAUAAUGAGAAAAUGUGCUUCCUUGAGACAAGCCCGCGCUAUCAGCUAAGCAACCUCACAUUCACUGCAGCUCUCCAAGUACUCUGGAAUGCUUUUCAGCCCAGAGGAUAAUGGUAUCAGACGACCAGAAAAGCUGUCCUGUAAAAGACUGUUAUUAUGAUUUCCAGCCUCAGAAGUUGGCUUAAUCCAGCUGAGCACACACAUGUUAUUUAGAGAGGAGACGGCGCUCAGACGCGACUAUCGGCGUUAUCUUCAUUGCAAAUGAAGAAUUCAGCUGGUGAGAGGCGAGCUGCGUUUUUGUCCUCAGCCCUGCAAACACCGGCUCUGCAGUGACUGAAUGUGGGUCUGUUUAUACGGGUGUGCAUCUGCCCCAGCCCCGUUUGCCCCAUUGCCAACCCAUCCAUCACAACGGCAAGGGUUGCCCCCCACGUUCCCCCAGUCUCACGAGCAGAUCCGUGCACACACACAGGGUAAGGUGUGAAAGCAAGGGUUAAUGGGGGGCUCCGUGGCAAAACCUCCCUGCCACGUUUCUGCACCAGAGAUGAGCGCAGGGGCCUUAAAAUAAAUCUGUCUUUCUAAAGCAGAGACGUGAAAUGGAGGUUUGAGAUCAAAGGCUGGGAUUCUCACAUUUUGCCAAGAUAGACAUAUCCAUUCACAAGAUUGCGGUGUAACAAAAUACUUGCUAAUGAAGAGAAUCAUAAUCUUAUUAUUAGCCCCAACCUACAACAGUGUGUCAUUCAGGAGUUGGCUAGAAUGUGCCCUACUUUAGCAAGUUGCACAGUGCUUCUCUUUGGAUUUAACGAGCUGUGAUUGUGUUUAUUUUCAGCAGCAAUCAUGCCUGUUCAUUUUUGACCAGGAUCUGAUGGCUAAUGAUGGAAAUCAACAGGAUA